AACGAACGCUGGCGGCAGGCUUAACACAUGCAAGUCGAACGCAUGCCUUCGGGCAUGAGUGGCAGACGGGUGAGUAACGCGUGGGAACCUACCCCUUGGUACGGGAUAGCUCCGGGAAACUGGAGAUAAUACCGUAUGUGUCCUGAGGGACAAAGAUUCAUCGCCAAGGGAUGGGCCCGCGUCGGAUUAGCUAGUUGGUGGGGUAACGGCCUACCAAGGCGACGAUCCGUAGCUGGUCUAAGAGGAUGAUCAGCCACAUUGGGACUGAGACACGGCCCAAACUCCUACGGGAGGCAGCAGUGGGGAAUAUUGGACAAUGGGCGCAAGCCUGAUCCAGCCAUGCCGUGUGAGUGAUGAAGGCCCUAGGGUUGUAAAGCUCUUUCACCGGUGACGAUAAUGACGGUAACCGGAGAAGAAGCCCCGGCUAACUUCGUG
Molecule: ribosomal RNA, 435 nt
Filed under: uncultured bacterium
Lineage: Bacteria
Description: partial 16S ribosomal RNA
Rfam family: Bacterial small subunit ribosomal RNA
Source: RNAcentral